Molecule: ribosomal RNA, 450 nt
Filed under: uncultured bacterium
Lineage: Bacteria
Description: partial 16S ribosomal RNA
Rfam family: Bacterial small subunit ribosomal RNA
Source: RNAcentral
GUGGGGAAUUUUGGACAAUGGGGGCAACCCUGAUCCAGCCAUGCCGCGUGCGGGAAGAAGGCCUUCGGGUUGUAAACCGCUUUUGUCAGGGAAGAAAUCCUUUGGGUUAAUACCUCGGAGGGAUGACGGUACCUGAAGAAUAAGCACCGGCUAACUACGUGCCAGCAGCCGCGGUAAUACGUAGGGUGCGAGCGUUAAUCGGAAUUACUGGGCGUAAAGCGUGCGCAGACGGUUUUGUAAGAUCGAUGUGAAAUCCCCGGGCUCAACCUGGGAACUGCAUUGGUGACUGCAAGGCUGGAGUGCGGCAGAGGGGGAUGGAAUUCCGCGUGUAGCAGUGAAAGGCGUAGAUAUGCGGAGGAACACCGAUGGCGAAGGCAAUCCCCUGGGCCUGCACUGACGCUCAUGCACGAAAGCGUGGGGAGCAAACAGGAUUAGAAACCCGGGUAGUCC